GCUGGAUGCGGAGGCGCACGCCUGUAAUCCCAGCAACUUGGGAGGAUGAGGCAGGAGGAUCUCAAGUUCAAAGCCAGCCUCAGCAAUUUAGCAAGGCCCUAAGCAACUUAGUGAGACUCUGUCUCUA
RNAcentral lists this small RNA (127 nucleotides) under Marmota monax (woodchuck). The record is from RNAcentral. Lineage: Eukaryota; Metazoa; Chordata; Mammalia; Rodentia; Sciuridae.